AGAGUUUGAUCAUGGCUCAGAUUGAACGCUGGCGGCAUGCCUUACACAUGCAAGUCGAACGGUCUUUUCUAUGGAAGCUUGCUUCCACUGAGAAGAUAGUGGCGGACGGGUGAGUAACACGUGGGUAACCUGCCCAUAAGAGGGGGAUAACAUCCGGAAACGGGUGCUAAUACCGCAUAGUUUUCUUGAUCGCAUGAUCGGGAAAGGAAAGACGGCCUUUGUGCUGUCGCUUAUGGAUGGACCCGCGGCGUAUUAGUUAGUUGGUGAGGUAAUGGCUCACCAAGACGAUGAUACGUAGCCGACCUGAGAGGGUGAUCGGCCACAUUGGGACUGAGACACGGCCCAAACUCCUACGGGAGGCAGCAGUAGGGAAUCUUCCGCAAUGGACGAAAGUCUGACGGAGCAACGCCGCGUGAGUGAAGAAGGUUUUCGGAUCGUAAAACUCUGUUGUCAGAGAAGAACAAGUUGGAGAGUAACUGCUCCAGCCUUGACGGUAUCUGACCAGAAAGCCACGGCUAACUACGUGCCAGCAGCCGCGGUAAUACGUAGGUGGCAAGCGUUGUCCGGAUUUAUUGGGGGUAAAGCGAGCGCAGGCGGUUCCUUAAGUCUGAUGUGAAAGCCCACGGCUCAACCGUGGAAGGUCAUUGGAAACUGGGGAACUUGAGUGCAGAAGAGGAGAGUGGAAUUCCAUGUGUAGCGGUGAAAUGCGUAGAUAUAUGGAGGAACACCAGUGGCGAAGGCGACUCUCUGGUCUGUAACUGACGCUGAGGCUCGAAAGCGUGGGGAGCAAACAGGAUUAGAUACCCUGGUAGUCC
Molecule: ribosomal RNA, 815 nt
Filed under: uncultured bacterium
Lineage: Bacteria
Description: bacterial SSU rRNA
Rfam family: Bacterial small subunit ribosomal RNA
Source: RNAcentral